CCUACGGGAGGCAGCAGUAGGGAAUUUCCGGCAAUGGACGAAAGUCUGACCGAGCAACGCCGCGUGAGUGAAGAAGGUUUUCGGAUCGUAAAGCUCUGUUGUAAGUCAAGAACGUGUGUGAGAGUGGAAAGUUCACACAGUGACGGUAGCUUACCAGAAAGGGACGGCUAACUACGUGCGACCAGCCGCGGUAAUACGUAGGUCCCGAGCGUUGUCCGGAUUUAUUGGGCGUAAAGGGAGCGCAGGCGGUCAGGAAAGUCUGGAGUAAAAGGCUAUGGCUCAACCAUAGUGUGCUCUGGAAACUGUCUGACUUGAGUGCAGAAGGGGAGUAGGGAAUUCCAUGUGUAGCGGUGAAAUGCGUAGAUAUAUGGAGGAACGCCAGUGGCGAAAGCGGCUCUCUGGUCUGUCACUGACGCUGAGGCUCGAAAGCGUGGGUAGCGAACAGGAUUAGAUACCCUGGUAGUCCACGCCGUAAACGAUGAGUGCUAGGUGUUAGGCCCUUUCCGGGGCUUAGUGCCGGAGCUAACGCAAUAAGCACUCCGCCUGGGGAGUACGACCGCAAGGUUGAAACUCAAAGGAAUUGACGG
RNAcentral lists this ribosomal RNA (587 nucleotides) under uncultured Streptococcus sp. Its description in RNAcentral is "bacterial SSU rRNA". It matches the Rfam family "Bacterial small subunit ribosomal RNA", at positions 338 to 916 of the family's 1533-position model. Lineage: Bacteria; Bacillati; Bacillota; Bacilli; Lactobacillales; Streptococcaceae. The record is from RNAcentral.